GACGAACGCUGGCGGCGUGCUUAACACAUGCAAGUCGAACGGAAAGGCCUUUUCGGAGGUACUCGAGUGGCGAACGGGUGAGUAACACGUGGGUGAUCUGCCCUGCACUCUGGGAUAAGCCUGGGAAACUGGGUCUAAUACCGGAUAGGACCGCACUUUAGUGUGUGUGGUGGAAAGUUUUUUCGGUGUAGGAUGAGCCCGCGGCCUAUCAGCUUGUUGGUGGGGUAAUGGCCUACCAAGGCGGCGACGGGUAGCCGGACUGAGAGGUUGGUCGGCCACAUUGGGACUGAGAUACGGCCCAG
Molecule: ribosomal RNA, 302 nt
Filed under: uncultured bacterium
Lineage: Bacteria
Description: bacterial SSU rRNA
Rfam family: Bacterial small subunit ribosomal RNA
Source: RNAcentral